GAUGAACGCUAGCUACAGGCUUAACACAUGCAAGUCGAGGGGAAACGGCAUUUAGUGCUUGCACCGAAUGGACGUCGACCGGCGCACGGGUGAGUAACGCGUAUCCAACCUACCCAUUACUGUGGGAUAACCUGCCGAAAGGCAGACUAAUACCGCAUAGUCUUCGAUGACGGCAUCAGAUUUGAAGUAAAGAUUUAUCGGUAAUGGAUGGGGAUGCGUCUGAUUAGCUUGUUGGCGGGGUAACGGCCCACCAAGGCAACGAUCAGUAGGGGUUCUGAGAGGAAGGUCCCCCACAUUGGAACUGAGAUACGGUCCAAACUCCUACGGGAGGCAGCAGUGAGGAAUAUUGGUCAAUGGGCGCGAGCCUGAACCAGCCAAGUAGCGUGCAGGAUGACGGCCCUAUGGGUUGUAAACUGCUUUUGUAUGGGGAUAAAGUCAAUCACGUGUGAUUGUUUGCAGGUACCAUACGAAUAAGGACCGGCUAAUUCCGUGCCAGCAGCCGCGGUAAUACGGAAGGUCCGGGCGUUAUCCGGAUUUAUUGGGUUUAAAGGGAGCGUAGGCCGGAGAUUAAGUGUGUUGUGAAAUGUAGACGCUCAACGUCUGACUUGCAGCGCAUACUGGUUUCCUUGAGUACGCACAACGUUGGCGGAAUUCGUCGUGUAGCGGUGAAAUGCUUAGAUAUGACGAAGAACUCCGAUUGCGAAGGCAGCUGACGGGAGCGCAACUGACGCUUAAGCUCGAAGGUGCGGGUAUCGAACAGG
This 761-nucleotide ribosomal RNA is filed under the name Prevotella melaninogenica. RNAcentral describes it as "bacterial SSU rRNA". It matches the Rfam family "Bacterial small subunit ribosomal RNA", at positions 28 to 776 of the family's 1533-position model. The record is from RNAcentral. Lineage: Bacteria; Pseudomonadati; Bacteroidota; Bacteroidia; Bacteroidales; Prevotellaceae.